UUAGUUUGGUUUAGGGCGCACGGUGGAUGCCUUGACACUAGGAGUCGAUGAAGGACGGGACUAACGCCGAUAUGCUUCGGGGAGCUGUAAGUAAGCUUUGAUCCGAAGAUUUCCGAAUGGGGAAACCCACCAUACGUAAUGGUAUGGUAUCCUUAUCUGAAUACAUAGGGUAAGGAAGACAGACCCAGGGAACUGAAACAUCUAAGUACCUGGAGGAAGAGAAAGCAAAUGCGAUUUCCUGAGUAGCGGCGAGCGAAACGGAACAUAGUCAAACCAAGAGGCUUGCCUCUUGGGGUUGUAGGACAUUCUAUACGGAGUUACAAAGGAACGAGGUAGACGAAGCGACCUGGAAAGGUCCGUCGUAGAGGGUAACAACCCCGUAGUCGAAACUUGUUCUCUUGAAUGUAUCCUGAGUACGGCGGAACACGUGAAAUUCCGUCGGAAUCUGGGAGGACCAUCUCCCAAGGCUAAAUACUCCUAGUGAUCGAUAGUGAACCAGUACCGUGAGGAAAGGUGAAAAGCACCCGAAGAGGAAGAGAUCCUGAAACCGUGUGCCUACAAAUAGUCAGAGCCCGUUAACGGGUGAUGGCGUGCCUUUGUAGAAUGAACCGGCGAGUUACGAUCCCGUGCGAGGUUGCUGAAGAGGCGGAGCCGCAGCGAAAGCGAGUCUGAAUAGGGCGUUUAGUACGUGGUCGUAGACCCGAAACCAGGUGAUCUACCCAUGUCCAGGGUGAAGUUCAGGUAACACUGAAUGGAGGCUCGAACCCACGCACGUUGAAAAGUGCGGGAUGAGGUGGGUAGCGGAGAAAUUCCAAUCGAACCUGGAGAUAGCUGGUUCUCCCGAAAUAGCUUUAGGCUAGCCUUAAGUGUAAGAGUCUUGGAGGUAGAGCACUGAUUGACUAGGGUCCUCAUCGGAUUACGAAUUCAGUCAAACCUGAAUGCCAAUGACUUAUCCUUAGGAGUCAGACUGCGAGGAUAAGAUCCGUAGUCAAAGGAAACAGCCCAGACCGCCAGCUAAGGUCCCAAAGUGUGUAUUAUGGAAAAGGAUGGAGUUGCUUAGACAACUAGGAUGUUGGCUUAGAAGCAGCCACCAUUUAAAGAGUGCGUAAUAGCUCACUAGUCGAGUGACUCUGCGCCGAAAAUGUACGGGCUAAAUACACCACCGAAGCUGCGGAUUGAUACCAAUGGUAUCAGUGGUAGGAGCGUUCUAAGGACAGUGAAGUCAGACCGGAAGGACUGGUGGAGUGCAGUGAGAAUGCCGGUAUGAGUAGCGAAAGACGGUGAGAAUCCGUCCACCGAAUGCCUAAGGUUUCUGAGGAAGGCUCGUCCGCUCAGGGUUGUCAGACCUGCCGAGGCCGACAGGCGUAGGCGAUGGACAACAGGUUGAUAUUCCUGUACCACCUCUUUAUCGUUUGAGCAAUGGAGGACGCAGAAGGAUAGAAGAAGCGUGCGAUUGGUUGUGCACGUCCAAGCAGUUAGGCUGAUAAGUAGGCAAAUCCGCUUAUCGUGAAGGCUGAGCUGUGAUGGGAAGCUUAUGGAGCGAAGUCUUGAUUCCCGCUGCCAAGAAAAGCUUAGCGAGAUAAAGGUGCCUGUACCGCAAACCGACACAGGUAGGCGAGGAGAGAAUUAAGGUGUGCGAGAGAACUCUGGUUAAGGAACUCGGCAAAUGACCCCGUAACUUCGGGAGAAGGGUGCUUAACGGAAAGCCGCAGUGAAUAGGCCCAAGCGACUGUUUAGCAAAACACAGCUCUGCGAAGCCGUAAGGCGAAGUAUAGGUGACACCUGCCCGGUGCUGGAAGGUUAAGGAGGGUUAGCGUAAGCGAAGCUCUGAACUGAAGCCCCAGUAAACGGCGGCCGUAACUAUAACGGUCCUAAGGUAGCGAAAUUCCUUGUCGGGUAAGUUCCGACCCGCACGAAAGGUGUAACGAUUUGGGCACUGUCUCAACCAGAGACUCGGUGAAAUUAUAGUACCUGUGAAGAUGCAGGUUACCCGCGACAGGACGGAAAGACCCCGUGGAGCUUUACUGUAGCCUGAUAUUGAAUUUUGGUACAGUUUGUACAGGAUAGGCGGGAGCCAUUGAAACCGGAGCGCUAGCUUCGGUGGAGGCGCUGGGAUACCGCCCUGACUGUAUUGAAAUUUAACCUACGGGUCUUAUCGACCCGGGAGACAGUGUCAGGUGGGCAGUUUGAUGGGGCGGUCGCCUCCUAAAGUGUAACGGAGGCGCCCAAAGGUUCCCUCAGAAUGGUUGGAAAUCAUUCGUAGAGUGCAAAGGCAUAAGGGAGCUUGACUGCGAGACCUACAAGUCGAGCAGGGACGAAAGUCGGGCUUAGUGAUCCGGUGGUUCCGCAUGGAAGGGCCAUCGCUCAACGGAUAAAAGCUACCCCGGGGAUAACAGGCUUAUCUCCCCCAAGAGUCCACAUCGACGGGGAGGUUUGGCACCUCGAUGUCGGCUCAUCGCAUCCUGGGGCUGUAGUCGGUCCCAAGGGUUGGGCUGUUCGCCCAUUAAAGCGGUACGCGAGCUGGGUUCAGAACGUCGAGACAGUUCGGUCCCUAUCCGUCGUGGGCGUAGGAAAUUUGAGAGGAGCUGUCCUUAGUACGAGAGGACCGGGAUGGACGCACCGCUGGUGUACCAGUUGUUCUGCCAAGGGCAUAGCUGGGUAGCUAUGUGCGGAAGGGAUAAGUGCUGAAAGCAUCUAAGCAUGAAGCCCCCCUCAAGAUGAGAUUUCCCAUAGCGUAAGCUAGUAAGAUCCCUGAAAGAUGAUCAGGUUGAUAGGUUCGAGGUGGAAGCAUGGUGACAUGUGGAGCUGACGAAUACUAAUAGAUCGAGGACUUAACCAU
Molecule: ribosomal RNA, 2839 nt
Filed under: Bacillus cereus C1L
Lineage: Bacteria; Bacillati; Bacillota; Bacilli; Caryophanales; Bacillaceae
Description: bacterial LSU rRNA
Rfam family: Bacterial large subunit ribosomal RNA
Source: RNAcentral